GUGCACCAGUCGAGAAACUUCACACUGUGCGAAAGCACGAUGAGGGAAUCCCAAGUGCUUGCACGUAAGUGUAAGCUGUUUCUCUGUCUAAAACGCAGAGAGAGUAAGGGCUGGGUAAGACGGGUGCCAGCCGCCGCGGUAAUACCUGCAGCUCAAGUGGUGACCGUUAUUAUUGGGCCUAAAACGUCCGUAGCCGGUUUAAUAAAUGCCUGGGUAAAUUGUGUAGCUUAACUAUACGAAUUCCGGGUAGACUGUUAAACUUGAGACCGGGAGAAGUUAGAGGUACUCCUGGGGUAGAGGUGAAAUUCUGUAAUCCUAGGGGACCACCAGUGGCGAAGGCGUCUAACUAGAACGGGUCUGACGAUGAGGGACGAAGCCCUGGGGCGCAAAACGGGAUUAGAUACCCCUGUAGU
RNAcentral lists this ribosomal RNA (413 nucleotides) under uncultured microorganism. Its description in RNAcentral is "bacterial SSU rRNA". It matches the Rfam family "Archaeal small subunit ribosomal RNA", at positions 330 to 745 of the family's 1478-position model. The record is from RNAcentral.